This 438-nucleotide ribosomal RNA is filed under the name uncultured marine bacterium. Its description in RNAcentral is "bacterial SSU rRNA". It matches the Rfam family "Bacterial small subunit ribosomal RNA", at positions 527 to 973 of the family's 1533-position model. The record is from RNAcentral.
GGAGGGUCCGAGCGUUAUCCGGAAUUACUGGGUUUAAAGGGUCCGCAGGCGGUCGAUUAAGUCAGAGGUGAAAUCCCAUAGCUCAACUAUGGAACUGCCUUUGAUACUGGUUGACUUGAGUCAUAUGGAAGUAGAUAGAAUGUGUAGUGUAGCGGUGAAAUGCAUAGAUAUUACACAGAAUACCAGUUGCGAAGGCAGUCUACUACGUAUGUACUGACGCUGAGGGACGAAAGCGUGGGGAGCGAACAGGAUUAGAUACCCUGGUAGUCCACGCCGUAAACGAUGGAUACUAGUUGUUGGGAUUUAUCUCAGUGACUAAGCGAAAGUGAUAAGUAUCCCACCUGGGAGUACGGUCGCAAGACUGAAACUCAAAGGAAUUGACGGGGCCCGCACAGGCUGGAGCAUGUGGUUAAUUCGAUGAUACGCGAGGAACCCUUA